This 497-nucleotide ribosomal RNA is filed under the name uncultured bacterium. Its description in RNAcentral is "partial 16S ribosomal RNA". It matches the Rfam family "Bacterial small subunit ribosomal RNA", at positions 28 to 507 of the family's 1533-position model. The record is from RNAcentral.
GAUGAACGCUGGCGGCGUGCCUAAUACAUGCCAGUCGAGCGAACAGACGAGGAGCUUGCUCCUCUGACGUUAGCGGCGGACGGGUGAGUAACACGUGGAUAACCUACCUAUAAGACUGGGAUAACUUCGGGAAACCGGAGCUAAUACCGGAUAAUAUAUUGAACCGCAUGGUUCAAUAGUGAAAGACGGUUUUGCUGUCACUUAUAGAUGGAUCCGCGCCGCAUUAGCUAGUUGGUAAGGUAACGGCUUACCAAGGCGACGAUGCGUAGCCGACCUGAGAGGGUGAUCGGCCACACUGGAACUGAGACACGGUCCAGACUCCUACGGGAGGCAGCAGUAGGGAAUCUUCCGCAAUGGGCGAAAGCCUGACGGAGCAACGCCGCGUGAGUGAUGAAGGUCUUCGGAUUGUAAAACUCUGUUAUUAGGGAAGAACAAAUGUGUAAGUAACUAUGCACGUCUUGACGGUACCUAAUCAGAAAGCCACGGCUAACUACGUG